RNAcentral lists this transfer RNA (67 nucleotides) under Stigmella roborella. RNAcentral describes it as "tRNA-Asp". Lineage: Eukaryota; Metazoa; Arthropoda; Insecta; Lepidoptera; Nepticulidae. The record is from RNAcentral.
AAAGAAUUAGUUAAAAAAUAACAUAAAUAUGUCAAAUUUAAAUUAUUAAAUAAAUUAAUAUUCUUUG